This is a long non-coding RNA of Alligator mississippiensis (American alligator), 9902 nucleotides long. RefSeq lists it as uncharacterized. Lineage: Eukaryota; Metazoa; Chordata; Crocodylia; Alligatoridae. The transcript is spliced from 3 exons. The record is from RefSeq and is a predicted model, not a curated record.
UAUAUCUGGGAUGCCUGAUGGUGCCAUCUAUAGAAAUGGUUUCACCUCUGAGUUCUGUUUGCCUUUCUACAGCUGCAAUUUUUAUACUCAGAUACUCUACAAUACAGAAACACACUGUAGCCCUCUCAGUUACUUAUUUGAUGCUGUUCUGGAAGAAUGAAAAUCUGCAAAGGAACCAUGAUUUAAAUCACCUUUUAAGGUUCCUCAACUUGGGGCAGCUCUGGGCCACAUGAGCUUAAACAGCCUAGAAAGUAAAACUUACAGCAGUAAGAGGGGCUGUCCAAUGGGGGAGAAUCCUUGGAAGAGCAGACACCCCUUAUAUUCCCCAGUGUGCUCUCCUCUUCUUUCUCUGUAUUCCUUGUCAGGUGAUCAAGCCUCCCACUUGAUAAGGUAGGUCAGGUGGUAUUUCUCUAGCCAUAGAAAUUCUUAUCCUACCCAGGUAUAUUAUUGUGUUUGGUUUGGACAGCAGCUCUGACUUUAAACACAAAAAAACUCUUCUCAAGGUCUUGAAUUUUAUCCAGCCACUAUAAUCCAAGCCUAACUCCUCACAUAACUCUUUAAUCAUGAUAAUUAAUGUACUAAGCCAGUGCUGUGUCUCACAUGUGGAUGCUGCCAUGCACAUGACAAUUUUCAGGAACUGCUGAAAGCUUCAUGUCUGUAUUUUCAUGUUAAAAAUCCAAGCACACGGGUUUCUUGUCCUUAAAUCAGCCCAAAUAGUAACAACAACAACAGCAACAAUGAUACUACUCCAAUCAAUCUGUACAAAUUGUUUAACAAAUGUUAGGCUGUGGAAUUAUCACUAAAUGUGUUCUGUAAUUUAACUCUUUUUGCUUUGUAAUUUUAUCCAGAUGUUUUCUGUAGAUUGCAGCAUGUGAGCUCAGAGCUAAGUCAACAGGAUGUACAGCUCCCUCUGUCUUCUUCUCUGCAACAGAGCUCCAUCCAAUCAAGACAAGGAAUAUGAAAUGAGCUCUGCAACAAAACCAAAAUCCAGUUGAUGAUUUACAGUGAAAACUGGGUAUAUGGAAUUUUGCCUAUUGACAAUCUCGUUGUGUGGAUGGUCUGAGAAUAAUGCUGCGGAAAUCCAAACAGCUGUCUCCAUGUCUUCCUGCAACAGCGCUGCACAAUAGAUGCACUUCAUGAGGCUCCAUUGGAUGCACUUCAGCUUCUAAAGAGAUACAAAUGGAACGGGGAGGAAGAGGCCAUCCAUGGGCAUUAUUACAACUAUCCAUUUAAAGUUCCAAGCCAGAGGAAAAAAGUAGACAUCUCUGUAAAUCAAGCAAUGACAUUAAAGAAAAUCAACAAACCAAAGAAAUUCCAUCUGAGAAAAGAUGCUAUUCUGUGUACAAUUAUGCCAUGAAGAGAUAUUUUAAUGUGCAGGGAGGUGUUGAAUGCUGUGCUUCAGGCAACAAUAUGAUAUAGAAACUGUUUCUAUUUAUAUGGAGCUAUUUUAGUGCCUCCAGGACUAGAAUAGUUAUCCUGGGUUACUGAGGGCUACUGACCCGGAAACUUAUGAAAGACAUUUCUGUUUGGAGAGUCAUUUGGAGAGGUUCCUCAAAUUAGUUGAUGGCUCUCUGAAACAAGCAGUGGCUGUGUGUGUAAGUUGGGAGAAAUACCUUGCUUCAAACAAUGCUUACUUUCUCAUGGGAAAAAAAUGUGUGAACAGAAAUGCACUGCAGCCUUUGCAUCUGCUUCUGAGCAAAUGAAAGCAGGCAGUCAGGUGGCUCCCUCCUGCACAAAAGGAACAAGUAAGGUAAUUACUGUUUAAUAUUUCAAACAGGAUGUUUGAAGGGGGGGCAUUUAAUUAUCCUGCCAACAUCUAUUCAAAUAAACAUGAGGGAUUUAGAACAUUUUUGGAUCUACAGACUUAAAAGGAAUGCCAAACAUUCAAGGGCACUAAACCUCUUAGAUCCCCUGUGUAACGUGACUUAGAAACAUGCUUCUAUUGACAUUUUACCUUGUAUAGGAAGAGAGGCCUGCUGUACUGAGCACUGCACUGCAGUCAUGUAUCCUGCAAAACGUAACUGCCUUCCCCUUUCCUCCUCAGACUGGUACCUGUAGAAAUACAUGUGAUACUCUUUCAGUAGCUGACUUUCAAUAGGCAUAAUAUCCUAUUGUAUAUGAUGCUUUUGGGAAAUUACCAACUGCAGACUUAAUGGUCAUUGAGAAAUGCUGGCAUCUGCCUUAUGUACUGAUAAUGAUUUAUUUACACUUAAUUUUUCAAAGGCAAAAUUAUGUGUAUCUGACCAUGUCUACAUGAGAUGCUUGCUGUGCAGUAGCUCGUUACUACUGUGCAGUAGCGUCGCGGGGCACAAAUUGUGAUGCAACGCUACUAUGCAGUCAGCAUCAUCAGGAAGCCGUGCAGGGAUGCUACUGUGUAGUAAUGCCAGUUACUGUGCAGUCAUUUAGUACUUGGGUAUGCAAGUACUAAAUGUUGGCACAGUAACAACUAUGCAGUCAGUGUACCAUAUAAACGCGGCCUCUGUCACUGAAACCCACGUGCCCCUUCCCUUUUUGUUUGUUUGUUUCUUACACACACUUGCUAUGUCUUUAGGUGAGAUUACAGCUUCUUUUGGAAAGGGACCCUAUCUUCCACCAUGAUUAUACAGUACUAUGAUUCCCUAAUCCUGAUUGGUGUUUCCGGUUGCUGCGAUUAUAUUAUUAUUAUUGUGGGCUGGGUGAAACAUCACUGAAGCUGGUAAAUACACCCACCUUUCAUUUAGGAUAGCUACAAGAAACAUGCUCUUUUAUGAACAGUAGUAGUUUCCACCUAAAACACCGACACAUACCACCUUCCUAGACAAAGCUGCCUAGUAGAGAGUUUUUCAGAGCAAUAUUCUGAGCAGAUGUAUGUGUGUGAGAACCAGGAGAAAGCAGUACAGAAGCAGAGAAACAGCAAAAAGCCAAAUAAGCAUUGAGAGUGUGACUCUGAGAAAAGACUUAAGAGUGAUCCUUUGGGCAGAGCAUUAACUGAAAGAGGUUUGAGCUCUGAGGAAAGACAGUAUGUUCUGCUGUUGGAUUCCUUCUGUGUUCAAAAAAAUUGAACUUCUUCAAAAAAUAUUCAACUAAAUCAUUAAUGACUCUUUCUAAUGGAAACAACCUUCAGGGCCCUGAACCACUUAGGACAAAAAGGUACUAGCAGCAAUAGUAGUCAUAGUACUGGAAGGAAAUUAGACUACUCUAAUUAGAAACAUCUUGGAAACACUUAAGCCAAAGUGACAGGAACUCCUCAGCUUAAUUUAAUUUACUCCAAUGCCAAGAAUGUAUGUGUGUUUGUAGAUUUAGGGUCCACUUUAUUAGUAAUGCAGCAUAACAUACUUGGAAAAUCUUCCAUGAAAACCAAAUAAUAACAAGCUACAAACUUCUCGGAUAAAUGGAUUUAAGUGGGAUGCUCACUUGCAAUAGGAUCUAAGACCACAGAAUCAUAGAAAAUUAGGGUUGGAAGGGACCUCAGGAGAUCAUCUAGUCCAACCCCCUGCUCAAAGCAGGACCAGCCCCAACUAAAUCAUCCCAGCCAGGGCUUUGUCAAGCUGGGCCUUAAAAACUUCCAAGAAUGGAGAUUCACCAUCCUCCUAGCGAGAAAGAUUUUCUAAUAUCCAACCUAAACCUCUCUUGCUUCAGCUUGAGACCAUUGCUCCUCGUUCUGUCAUCUGCCACCACCAAGAACAGUCUCGCUCCAUCCUCUUUGGAACCACCCUUCAGGCAGUUGAAGACUGCUAUUAAAUCCUCUCUCAGUCCUCUCUCUCCAGACUGAAUAAAUUCAGUUCCCUUAGCCUCUCCUCAGAAGUCAUGUGCCCUAAUCUCCUAACCAUUUUUGUUGCUCUCCACUGGACUUUCCAAUUUCUCCAUAUCCUUUUUGUAGUGGGGGCCCCAAAACUGAACACAGUACUCCAGAUGUGUCCUCACCCGUGCUGAAUAAAGGGGAAUAAUCACUUCCCUUGACCUGCUGGAAACACUCUUACCAUUGCAGCCCAGUAUGCCAUUAGCCUUCUUGGCAACAGGGGCACACUCUUAGCAUAUUCAGCUUAUUGUCCACUGUAACUGCCAGGUCUUUUUCUGCAGAGCUCAUGUCCAGCCAGUCAGCCCCCAGCCAGUACCAGUUCGUGGGAUUGUUUCAUCCUAAGUGCAGAAUUUUGCACUUGUCCUUGUUGAACCUCAUGAGAUUUCUUUUGGCCCAACCCUCCAAUUUGUCUAGAUCACUCUGAAUCCUAGCUCUAACCCCCAGCAUAACUACUACUUCCCCCAGAUUGGUGUCAUCCUCAAACUUGCUGAGGGUACACUCCAUCCCAUUUUCUAGAUCGUUAAAGAAGAUUGAACAAAACUGGCCCCAGGACUGAGCACUAGGGUACUCCACUUGAUACUGGCUGCCAGCUAGACAUUGAGUCAUUGAUUCCUACCCAUUAAGUCCAACAAUGUAGCCAGUUCCUAUCCACCUUACAGUUCAUUUAUCCAACCCAUACUUCAUCAGCUUGCUUGCAAGUAUACUAUCGGUGACAGUAUCAAAAGCCUUGCUAAAGUCAAGGUAUAUUUUGUCCACUUCUUUCCCCACAUCCACAGAGCCAGUUAUCCAAUCAUAGAAGGGAAUCAGGUUGGUCAGGAAUGACUUGCAUGUGGUGACUCCAUGCUGACGAUUCUUAAUCACCUUCUUCUCUUCCAAGCAAUUAGAAAUGGAUUCUUUGAAGAUCUGCUCUUUUCUGGGGACUGAGGUGAGACUAACUGGUCUGUAGUUCCCUGGAUCCUUCUUCUUCCCUUUCUUAAAGAUGGGCACUAUAUUUUCCCUUUUCAAAUCACCUGGGACCUCCCCAAUUCACCAUGAGUUUUCAAAGAUAAUGGCCAGCAGCUCUUCAAUCACAUCAGUCAGCUCCCUCAGCACCUUCAGAUGUAUUGCAUCUGGCCCCAUGGACUUUAACACUGAAAAAUGCAAGGUUCUCCACCUUGGGAGGAAAAACCUGCAGCAUCCUUAUAGGCUCGGCAGUGCUACACUGGCUAGUACUAUGGAAGAAAAAGGCUUGGGGGUCAUCAUUGACUACAAGAUGAACAUGAGCCUGCAAUGCAAUGCUGCAGCUAGUAAAGCUACCAAAAUGCUGGCUUGCAUCCAUAGAUGCUUCUCAAGCAAAUCCCGGAACGUCAUUCUCCCCUUGUACUCAGCCUUGGUGAGGCUGCAGUUGUUGUACUGCAUCCAGCUUUGGGCUCCACAAUUCAAAAAGGAUGUGGAGAAGCUUGAAAGAGUCCAGAGAAGAGCCAUGCACAUGAUCAGAGGUCAGGAAAACAGACCUUACGACGACAGGCUGAGAGCCAUGGGGCUCUUUAGCCUGGAAAAGCGCAGGCUCAGGGGUGAUCUGAUGGCCACCUAUAAGUUUAUCAGGGGUGACCACCAGUAUCUGGGGGAACAUGUGUUCACCAGAGCGCCCAAGGGAUGAUGAGGUUGAACGGUUAUAAACUAUUGCAAGACCAUUUCAGGCUGGAUAUAAGGAAGAAUUUCUUUACUGUCUGAGCCCCCAAGGUCUGGAAUAGCCUGCCAUCGGAGGUGGUUCAAGCACCUACAUUGAACACCUUCAAGAGUAAAUUGGAUGCUUAUCUUGCUGGGAUCCUAUGACCCCAGCUGACUUCCUGCCCUUCGGGCAGGGGGCUGGACUCAAUGAUCUUCCAAGGUCCCUUCCAGCCCUGAUGUCUAUGAAAUCUGUGAAAUCUAUGACUUGUACAUGUCCAGCUUUUCUAAAUAGUCCCUAACCUCUUCUUUCACCACUGAGGGCUGCUCAGCUACUCCCCAAACUGUGUUGCCCAGUACAGUAGUCUGGGAGCUGACCUUGCCUGUAAAGACCAAGGUAAAAUGUCAUUGAAUACUUCAGCCUUUUCCUCAUCAUCUGUCACUAGGCUGCCUCCCCCAUUCAGUAAGAGAUCCACACUUUCCCUGACCUUCCUCUUGUUGCUAACAAACUUGUAGAAACCCUUCUUGUUACCCCUCAUGUCCCUUGCUAGCUGCAACUCCAAUUGCGUUUUGGCCUUCCUGACUUCAUCCCUGCGUGCCCAAGCAAUUUUCUUAUACUCCUCCCAAGUUGUUUGUCCAAGUUUCCACUUCUUAUAAGCUUCCUUUUUGUGUUAAUCUCACCGAAGAGUUCUCUGCUAAGCCAAGCUGGUUGUUUGCCACAUUUGCUAUUCUUCCUACACAUCAGGAUAGUUUCUUCCUGUGCCCUCAUUAAGGUUUCUUUAAAAUACAACCAGCUCUUCUAGACUCCUUUCCUUCUAAGAUUGGCCUCCCAAGGAAUCCUGUCCAUCAGUUCCCUGAGGGAAUCAAAGUCUCCAUGGUUUACCAGAUCUUAUUAAGUAAACAUGGUUGAGCCUGAUCAGUACUGAGAUGGACAUGGAAGAGAUCACUUAGUACGUGUUAAAUCUGAAGGUAGAAGCAUAAUAAUGUUUACCAAGAUCUCUAACGUGCACAGCUCACUGGUUGUUGGUCCAGGCCAUGGCACCUUACCCGAGUCUUGAACCAAUUCCAGCACAGUGCUAGGGCUGGGGCUAACAAUAAUUUGGUUGUCUGUCCCUAUCCUAGCAACAGAGACCCUUUGCUGAUUGGACCCUGGGCUGGCUGUGAUACCAUGUUGCCACUGGGGCACACUGGUUAGAAAGCCCAGAGGGGAUGGGGGACUGCAAGAAUAUGCAGAAUCAUGAGCACAUGUUCCUUACUAUGAUCUGGAGAUACUCCUGGGGAAAGUCACAACUUUUUGUAAAAUACAAUUGCCCUUAGCAUGUGUUUUAGUACUUGAAUGCAUGGGCACUUGCAUUUUAAGUUCAGUUAACAUGUCCUAAGUGCAACAUGUAACAUAGCCCUAAGACAAAACCUGUGGGGAAACUGCAUGAUUUCAUUGGAAGAGAGAAAACUAGAAGCAUCUGUAGAGAGAUUGUUUGAGGGUGAGAAAAUGGGACUUUAAAGGGUGAAGAAAAUCCUGGAAGGCUUGUAUGUGAGAUUGGUGGUCCUAGGAGUCUUAUAGGUAUGCAAGGGAAAGGGACAUGAUCCUAGAAAAGAGCAGAGAAUGUUGUAGCUCUUCUGCCUGUCCCUGAACACACCAGAGAAGUUAGUAGGGUCUUGGAUUCUCCCAUCUCAUCUUGCAGGGGUCUGUUUUACUAAGCAUGGUGCAAAUUAGUAUUGAGAUCAGUAUUGUUGAGGGGAAGGGAAUGGUAGUAUUGCAAAGUGUAGCACAAGUGGAGGCCUCUGGGCACUACAGACACAAAUUUGGUGUUUUAUAGUGAUUGAAACCAAUCCCUGUUACAAGCCAGUACAUCCAUUUCUGAUGUCAAUAAUAAUUUUCUAUAUACCCUUAUGAUAUAGGUUUGCAAUAGGGAGGUAGACUCAUAUGCAGUUAAAAUAAAAAAUCUCUCUCUCUCUCUCUUUCAGAGACAGUGUUUGUAUAUUAGGUGUUGAUUUGAGGAAAGCUCAAAUAUAAGGAAGCUCACUAUUAAACAAAUUAAAAAUUAUUUUUCAAAGGCAAGAAUUCACUAGCAUGUUAUCCUUGAAAAAUCCCAUUAUAAGCAGUUUAAUAGGAGCCACAGCCUUGAGAUCACAUGCAUUUUUUUUCCAUUUGAAAAGAGUAUUUCCAACACCUUUUUAACUCUUUUUUUAACUGAAAUACCUUUUGACAUUGCAAGUCUGUACUUUUUUUGUUCUUUGAAAUGUGGCAUGUGGUUUGAGUUUUAAAGCUUAUUUCCUCUUGGACUAAUGAGCCUCUGAAAGUUAUUAAAGAGAAGAAAGACAGGUUAAGCCAAUGACAUUUUAUCAGAGGAAACAUUAUCAAAUCUUAAUGCCAGAAAAGCCAUUUUUGUUGGUUCCCAAGAUUUCUCCUAAUAAAAUAUUUAUUUACUACUGUUGUAGUAAUCCAGAAGCCUGACUGUUAAGUAUGCAUCACUUAAGCUUAGAAUAUAUGGACACUGUUUAAAAACACGUCAUAUUCACAACUAUUCUUCAUGGUGAUCCAGUCUGGUUCUUCUAUUAUUUGUAUGUUGUAGUAUUUAUAUAUGAACUUUGUUCCUUGGAAAUUCUAUCCAAAUCAAAAUGGAGCUUUUGUUUUGAUGACCUUUUAAAAGGGGAUUAAGUGCAUUCACGAUACUUUAUCAUUAUAUCCUGAAUCCAAUGUGUUCAAAGUCUAUUCAUGCUUUAAGAAGUUGUAGAGUUUUGAUAGAUGGAUAUCAGUUGCUUGAAAAUCAUGCUCUGUCAUACAGCUCUUGUUGGUAUGAGGUAGCAUUGUGAGUUGUUCUGCAUGCUGGUUACUUAUUGCUAUUAAUGUUGCAGAGGUCUUAGUCAAACUCAGAGACAAGACACUGUAAACAGCUAAGAUAAAAUGGUCCCUGCUACAAAGAGCUAACACUCUGGGUUAGUAGUUUUCAAACUGGUCAGGAGAGAGAGACCUGGGGUUCUGCAAUAUGUCUUCAGGAGUUCUGCAACACUUGUGUGAGUAACAGCGGAGUGAGAUGGGAGGUAGUAUCAUGCCAUUACCUAGACAGAUCUCUUGGGAGCCCCACGCCCCCCAAGUCUGGGCACCAUGGGCUGCUCAGCAGCACAACACAGCAGUUGGCCUGUAAAGGGAGGGGGGGGAAGCAGAGUCUGGAACCAUGGCAGCAGGUGCUGCCAGAAGCCUGGCCUGUCUUGUCCUGGAAACAGGGCAGAGGAGGCAGGCUGCCUAUGGCCAGCACCCAGUGAGUCACUGGCCCCAGCAGAGUGAUCAGGGAUGAGGGAGAUUAACUAGUGACCAUCUGGGCCUGGGCCUGCCCACUCAAUUUACCAUGGUUUCUGGGCACCUGUGGACAACCAACCCCCAAUCUGAGGCGGGGCAGUGCAUGACCACUGGUACAGAACAUCUUAUCUCUGAAAUGUUGCAAACUCUCACAAAAGGCUUCUGUCUCUUGGCUCUGUAGGCCCAGCACAGAUGCCAGGUCAGGGAUGCUGCCACACACUGCUGGGGUCCUUUGGAUGUGCUGGCUGCACCAGAGGUGCAUGCAGGACCAGACCCUCCUCCUCCAGUGGCUGGUGGCAGCGGCUGAGAAGUGGGAGUAGACUGCCCGGGCCUAAAGGGAAGAGGACCUAGGCCAGAAGGAAAAGUGGCAGGAGGAGGACCUGGCCCACCAGUAUAGGUUGUGGGCAAAGGACUUAGCAUUCCAGGGUGAGCUCCUGGCCCUGGACAGGAAGUGGAUCCAGAUCCUACAGGACCAGAAUGUCAUGCAGGGCUGGGCAGUGAAGGUGAUGGAUGAUGACAGUCAGAUCAUGGACACUGUCCUGGGCCAGAAGGUCUCAUUCAUGUCACCCACUGCCCAGUCCCCAUCCCUAGCCCAAUAGGCCCCCUGGAAGCCACCUGCCACCCCACAGCAGGCCCUUGCCUAGGCGUGGGAGGAGGUCCUUUGCUUUUUCCCACCUGCAGAAGCCCCUGGCCUGGCCCCCAUCCCAGGUCCACUACCACCUGCCUGAGCCAAGGGCUGCUGUUCACCCCAGCCCCACAUGCACAUAGAGUCAGAGCUGCCUGGAGUGGCACAAGGACUGGACAUCAGCCCCGUUGGGCCUGUACUCUACCAGCUUGAGAGGGAGCUGCUCACCCCAAAGGAGUCCCAGGCACUGUCACCCCUGGACAAGCCCCCCAACCACCACAGUCACUACAGUGUGUGGACCCACAGGGGAACUGGCAGAGGCCAGGGUGCUGACCACCUGCCCCCAGGCUCUGCUCCUUAAGCACCCCCACCACAUAGCCCCCAACUCCAGGACACUAAAACAAAGACUUUGUAAAUAGUUUUCACACUGGGAAGAGGGUUUCUUAUUGUUGGUAGGUGGGGAGGGUGGUGGAGAAGCUCUGUUUGCUGAGGGGGAAGCAGGGAGGAGGCUAUGUGUGUUGAGGAGCAUACAGAGACAGGUAGGGGGUAUAUGU